RNAcentral lists this ribosomal RNA (488 nucleotides) under uncultured bacterium. RNAcentral's name for it is "partial 16S ribosomal RNA". It matches the Rfam family "Bacterial small subunit ribosomal RNA", at positions 28 to 507 of the family's 1533-position model. The record is from RNAcentral.
GACGAACGCUGGCGGCGUGCUUAACACAUGCAAGUCGAACGCGCCUGUCCUCUGGGUUUCUGGGGGGGGGGUGAGUGGCGCACGGGUGAGUAACAUGUGAGUAACCUGCCCCCUUCUUCGGGAUAACGGUCUGAAAGGGCUGCUAAUACCGGGUAUUCACUGGUCUCCGCAUGGGGUCUGGUGGAAAGGUUUUUUUCUGUUGGUGGAGGGGUUCGCGGCCUGUUGGCUGGUUGGUGGGGGACUGGCCCACCGAGGCUUUGCCGGCUAGCCGGCCUGAGCGGGGACACUGUAACAUUGGCACGGAGAUGAGGCCCAGACUACUACGGGAGGCAGCAGUUGGGACUAUUGGACAAUGGGCGCAAGCGUGAUGCAGCGACGCUGCGGGAGGGCUGGAGGCCUUCGGGUUGUGAACCUCUUUCGCCCGUGGUCAAGCCGAGACGUGGGUCGUGGUGAGGGUAGUGGGUAAAGAAGCGCCGGCUAACUACGUG